UACGGAGGGGGCUAGCGUUGUUCGGAAUCACUGGGCGUAAAGGGAGCGUAGGCGGGUUUUUAAGUCAGGUGUUUAAUCCCGGGGCCCAACCCCGGACCGGCACUUGAAACUGGGUAUCUUGAAUAGGGGAGAGGUCAGUGGAAUUGGAGGUGUAGCGGUGGAAUGCGUAGAGAUCUCCAAGAACACCAGUUGCGAAGGCGGCUGACUGGACCCAUAUUGACGCUGAGGCUCGAAAGCAUGGGGAGCAAACAGG
Molecule: ribosomal RNA, 253 nt
Filed under: uncultured bacterium
Lineage: Bacteria
Description: partial 16S ribosomal RNA
Rfam family: Bacterial small subunit ribosomal RNA
Source: RNAcentral